GAUGAACGCUGGCGGCGUGCUUAACACAUGCAAGUCGAGCGGAAAGGCUCCUGCUUGCAGGGGUACUCGAGUGGCGAACGGGUGAGUAACACGUGGGUGAUCUGCCCUGCACUUCGGGAUAAGCCUGGGAAACUGGGUCUAAUACCGGAUAGGACGAUGGUUUGGAUGCCAUUGUGGAAAGUUUUUUCGGUGUGGGAUGAGCUCGCGGCCUAUCAGCUUGUUGGUGGGGUAAUGGCCUACCAAGGCGUCGACGGGUAGCCGGCCUGAGAGGGUGUACGGCCACAUUGGGACUGAGAUACGGCCCAGACUCCUACGGGAGGCAGCAGUGGGGAAUAUUGCACAAUGGGCGCAAGCCUGAUGCAGCGACGCCGCGUGGGGGAUGACGGCCUUCGGGUUGUAAACUCCUUUCGCUAGGGACGAAGCGCAAGUGACGGUACCUGGAGAAGAAGCACCGGCUAACUACGUG
RNAcentral lists this ribosomal RNA (466 nucleotides) under uncultured bacterium. Its description in RNAcentral is "partial 16S ribosomal RNA". It matches the Rfam family "Bacterial small subunit ribosomal RNA", at positions 28 to 507 of the family's 1533-position model. The record is from RNAcentral.